GCCAGACUCCUACGGGAGGCAGCAGUGGGGGAUAUUGCACAAUGGGGGAAACCCUGAUGCAGCGACGCCGCGUGUGGGAAGACGGUCCUCUGGAUUGUAAACCACUGUCCCCAGGGACGAAGAUGACGGUACCUGGGGAGGAAGCUCCGGCUAACUACGUGCCAGCAGCCGCGGUAAUACGUAGGGAGCAAGCGUUGUCCGGAAUUACUGGGUGUAAAGGGAGCGUAGACGGCCAAGCAAGCCAGGGGUGAAAGCCCGGGGCCCAACCCCGGGACUGCCCUUGGAACUGCAUGGCUGGAGUGCGGGAGGGGCAGGCGGAAUUCCUGGUGUAGUGGUGAAAUGCGUAGAUAUCAGGAGGAACACCGGCGGCGAAGGCGGCCUGCUGGACCGCGACUGACGUUGAGGCUCGAAAGCGUGGGGAGCAAACAGGAUUAGAUACCCUAGUA
RNAcentral lists this ribosomal RNA (446 nucleotides) under uncultured bacterium. RNAcentral describes it as "bacterial SSU rRNA". It matches the Rfam family "Bacterial small subunit ribosomal RNA", at positions 330 to 792 of the family's 1533-position model. The record is from RNAcentral.